Drosophila subpulchrella is the source of this 235-nucleotide long non-coding RNA. RefSeq lists it as uncharacterized. The record is from RefSeq and is a predicted model, not a curated record. The transcript is spliced from 3 exons. NCBI's taxonomy places the organism in Eukaryota, Metazoa, Arthropoda, Insecta, Diptera, Drosophilidae.
CGAGAAAUGCUGGACACAGAAAUAGAAUCGAAUUGAAUUCAAUGCAAUUCUUCAAUUCCAUCUGUCGAUUCCAAGUGCAACUCAAGAUUACAAUUAUGUGUCUGGGCAUACCAAAGACCCCGAUGGAUUCUUCAAUGGCGGAGAAUGUUGGAGAAGGGGCACAUCGCUUCGAGCUCUGGCUGUUGUGUAAAUUGAACAAACGAAACAUUUCGAGCGGCGCACGAAAUAAAUCUCA